RNAcentral lists this non-coding RNA (256 nucleotides) under Clostridiales bacterium. RNAcentral's name for it is "T-box sequence". It matches the Rfam family "T-box leader". Rfam says of the family: Uncharged tRNA acts as the effector for transcription antitermination of genes in the T-box leader family. Lineage: Bacteria; Bacillati; Bacillota; Clostridia; Eubacteriales. The record is from RNAcentral.
UACAAAUCAUUGAUUGGGGAUAGUACAGCUUGAAAGUCUUUCAGAGAGCCUGCGUUGGAUUUUAUAAGUCUAAAAUCCUAGGUGUGAGCAGGUAAGGUGGACAUUCUGGAAUGGGCCCAUGAGAGCAGCUUGAAUUACAGUAGACGCUGACGUACUUUUCCUACGUUACAAGGAAACGAAUAUAUAUGUAUUCGAGCAAGAGGACUGCGUACGCAGUCAAUUUGGGUGGUACCGCAGGUAGACUCCUGUCCCAAUA